RNAcentral lists this ribosomal RNA (580 nucleotides) under uncultured bacterium. RNAcentral describes it as "bacterial SSU rRNA". It matches the Rfam family "Bacterial small subunit ribosomal RNA", at positions 623 to 1212 of the family's 1533-position model. The record is from RNAcentral.
CCAUUCGAUACUGUUAGACUGGAGGGCAGCAGAGGGAGAUGGAAUUCCCGGUGUAGUGGUGAAAUGCGUAGAUAUCGGGAGGAACACCAGUGGCGAAAGCGGUCUCCUGGGCUGUUCCUGACACUGAGGCCCAAAAGCGUGGGGAGCAAACAGGAUUGGAUACCCUGGUAGUCCACGCCUUAAACGAUGGAUACUAGGUAUGGGGGGUAUCGACCCCCUCCGUGCCACAGUUAACACCUUAAGUAUCCCGCCUGGGGAGUACGGUCGCAAGACUAAAACUCAAAGGAAUUGACGGGGGCCCGCACAAGCAGCGGAGCGUGUGGUUUAAUUCGAUGCAACACGAAGAACCUCACCAAGGCUUGACAUACAAGAAGUAGUGAACCGAAAGGGGAACGACCUGUUAAGUCAGGAGCUUGAACAGGUGCUGCAUGGUUGUCGUCAGCUCGUGCCGUGAGGUGUUGGGUUAAGUCCCGCAACGAGCGCAACCCUCGUUGCCAGUUGUUUUCUCUGGCGAGACUGCCCCGCAAGACGGGGAGGAAGGUGGGGAUGACUUCAAAUCACCACGGCCCUUAUGCCUUGG